UUUCCGUAGGUGAACCUGCGGAAGGAUCAUGACAGAGUUCAUGCCCUCACGGGUAGAUCUCCCACCCUUGAAUAUUUAUACCUUAGUUGCUUUGGCAGGCCGUGGAAACACCAUGGGCUCCGGCUUAUGCGUGCCUGCCAGAGGAAACAAACUCUGUUUUUAGUGAUGUCUGAGUACUAUAUAAUAGUUAAAACUUUCAACAACGGAUCUCUUGGUUCUG
This 220-nucleotide unclassified non-coding RNA is filed under the name plant metagenome. RNAcentral's name for it is "partial contains small subunit ribosomal RNA, internal transcribed spacer 1, and 5.8S ribosomal RNA". The record is from RNAcentral.